GGGGGGGGGGGGUUGGGAGUUGUUUAAUCCUGUUUUGUGGUGGUGGGAGGAGGGGUGUGGAUUAUUCAAGUAAAUAUGGUAAUAUCAAAUAGGGUGUGGUACUCAAAGUUCUUAAAUCUCCACUAGUUUUAACCAGCUACUGAAUUUUAGUUGAUUGUUUCCCACCUCAUGAGGGUUUGGUUUUGCUUUUUUAAGUGAAGCCUACAGAACUAUAACAGAUAAAUACAAUACUUUAAAACACUGAAGGAUAGGUAUAAGCCCAUCAUCACUUGUGAAUGCUAAGAUAGUGGUCUUCAAGUGUGUGUUGUUUUGUUUUUUAAUUGUGUUUUUAUAUGGCAGUUAAGCUUUUCUAUGAAUUCAGUAUUUUGGAUGCAACAGCACUGCAGAGAGAUUCAUGGGUUAUUUUUCCCAUACCUUCAUAGUAGAUUUAUUUCCAACUCAAAUUUUAAAUUCCACCCCACCCCAUCCAAAUUAAUCUUAUACUAGGCAAGCAGAUCAGGGCUGAGGAAUCCCCGAUGAAAGAGCACAUGCCAAAUGCAGAGACUUCCUUAGUCUGACAAAGAGUUUUUAAACCUGAAAGCUUGCUACAGUUUUCCCCCUCCCCCCCAACUAUUUAAGUUGGUCUAAUAAAAGAUACCAGAUUCGCCCAAAGAACCUUGCUUGAAAAGACUCACUGAUUUUAUUUUGACCUUGAAUUGGGCCUUAAAUGUGAUUCCUAAGAUGCCAGACUCCUUUAAGUCUCCCAAUAUAUACUGGUUGGUACUACUAACCAGAAAGCAGCUUUGUUAUUAAAUGUUGUAAAUAAUCACUAGGGGGUAGUGUGCACACAGCACACAUUCAGGCAUCUGUAUUGCUAUUGAAGCCUUCCUCUUAAAAGAGAGACCUGAAAGUUUUUUUCUUUUUCUUUGGAUGGUUAAAGGUAAUAACAAAAGCAAACAAAAAUAACUUCAUCUGUUUAUAAAUUUCAGGAGAAAAAAACAAAAGUAUUAAAUGACUUGAACAUUUGGGUUUUUUAAACAGUAUUAUAUAUUUGAUUUUUAUCUGCAAUGAAAUAUACACAUGCUUUUCCUGUUUUGGAAUCUUAUUUUAACAGUUAGUGAAAAAAGGUUUUUGAUAAACAUGCUUUUAUAGUUUAAGAACCUUCUUGUCCUGGCAUAACUGUCACCCAACCCCUCUUGCUGCAGCCUUAUCCAAAGAGCAAAAUAUGAAGAGAGAAAGGUAUCUAUAGUUCAAUAGAGAAUUAAUUUCCAGAGUGUUACUGGGCCCCUCUUACUACACUGGCAGAUUUUGAAUUUUAUGUAUAUUUAGAGAUGAGUUUAUCAAAUAAAGAUGAAAUACAAAAAAGGUCAACAUUUUACCAAACCAGAGUACUGUGAAUAUACACACACACAUACUCCUCCCUCCCUGCCACACCCUCCAUAACUUCUUCAGCUUCAGCAAUCUUCCUCCAUCAUAUCUUGAGUGGUUCUGUGAUAUUCCACUAUGAUUUAUUCUGUGUUUGUAAAUUAACAGGCAACUGAGCAUCUGGAAGGAAAAAUAAAUUUUAACUUCAUUUGUGAACUACAUUCUUCUUGCUUGCUAUUUUGAUGCUCAUGCUAGAAAUUACUGGCCUUAAUUUUGUGAUGCUAGGUGAAUUGAGUGGUUUGAAAUUUGAGAUUAGUUGAAUGCUCUAUAUAUUGUUUCCUGAAUCUAUUGUCAACAUUUUGGAGCGUUCUUUGAAAGUGUGUAUUCCCUGCCCAUGGCCUGGAAAGUGGUUGGUUAACCUGCAUUCUGCAAAGAGCUCUCUUCCUUUUCUCAGCAAAAUGUUUUUUGGUACCUUUUACAUGCUAAACUUGAGUUACAGAACAAUGCAUUUCUUGCUGUAGUGUGUGUGUGUGUGUGUGUGUAACACCUUGUCCUGUGGGAGGUAAAACAAUUGGGUAGAAAGCUUAAAUCAGAAAAAUCUUUUUACUGAAGAUGCUUACAUGUCUCCUGCUGAUCUUGGUGUAUUCUAUCACUUUUAGUAGUAGUGACUUGCUACUAGAUUCUUAUUUGACCUGGCCUCGAUAUUAUCUGCUUAAUUUCUUAAAGCUAUGAGAUUUCUUUUUAACAGACCAUCUUCAACCAGCAUUUAUUUUCUCUCUCUCUCUCUCUCUUCUCUCUCCCCCCCCCCCCCAUGCCCUCUCUGCAGCCCAAAUUGGAACCAGUGAGGGAUUUGUGGGAUAGUGUAAAUUAAAAGUCUCUAUCAGCUGGUCAAUAGCCCCUGCUAAAGCUACAUGCUCUGAGGCACUACGCUAGUACAUGAGAAGCAAGAAAAUAAACACUGUAAAAAGGGAAACUUAUAGUGGAAUUAGAUUGUUCAACCUGAUUGUUGUCGAAGCCAUAAUAAUGUGCUCACUGCUGUAUGGAACCAGUUAAAACAGUGUCCAUUUGGAAAAACUUUAAAAUAUAUGCUGAUGAUCUCUAUUGUGGUUGUAUGAUUGCAUCUAAGCACCUUGUUACAGGUAAGAAUUUUUUUAAUAUCCAUUUCACAGCACACAGAAAGGCUAAGAGGAGAGCAUUUUAAAACUAUAAAAUAGAUUGCAAUUCAAUGAACAUCAGGUUUCUAAGUCAUUUUGAAAAUCCUAGGCUCACUGACUUGCCCAAGGUCAUGUAAGACAUGUGUGGUAGUCUUAACUGCAAACCAGCUUCAGUUGACCCUUUUCUUCUCUAACCCUUAGAUUUCUACACAUUUCCUUGAGGAACAUUCAAACAAGUAUAUUUCUGUGGAGUUACAGUAGUCCUUUUUUGACUUUAGAUCCUUAUUAAAGUUCUGCUAGUCCCAAUGCUCGUAUCAAGUGCCAGGGUUGAGGUUGUUAAAUAUAUAUGUGGCCUUUUAGAAUGAUCGCCUCUACAAAUACAGCACUGUACUGUAUUGGUAAAUAACUCUCCCCUGUAUUGUGUCAGUUCAAUUGGUGCUCAGUGAUACUUUGAAUAGUGCUGCCAGUUCAGUUCAUUGCAGCUACCUCUAAGAAGAGUAACUGUUGUGCUGGUACAAGUAGUUUAGGGGGUGACUCACUUCUUUGUGUCAUUAAGGAUUUGUUUAGAGGUGAUGAAGUGCACAAUUACCUGUGACAGCCCUUUUGACCAUGACCUCUUGCAGAGAAAGUUUGAUAGCUGCCUUGGGGACCAAAUAGUAGAUUCUGUAAAGUACUCUCCACAGAGUUUGCAAAGCAUCCAACAAUGUCUUCUCCAGCCAAUUCCACCUGAAAAUCUACAGGAGCAAGCACCGCCUGCUUGUUGGUGGAGAUGCUCAAAUGAAAGCAGAUCAGAUUCUCAAAGAGUUGAUGCAAGGCACUCAGUUAACCAGCAGAGGACUGUAGAACCACAUGCCAUAGUUAUUCAUGCAAAUAUGCCCAAUCACAAAGAAAUGAGAGGGUGGAGGGGAACACACACGGCAGACCACAGUGUAGUGAAUAAAUUCUGUAAACUAUGAUAAAACACUGAGAAGCAAGAUCCACCCUCUUUGUUUUUCUCCUUAUUAGAGAGUUUAAUUUGCCCCAAUUCACCCUCCCCAAUGAGGAUUUAUGGGAAUUUUGUUUACAUCUUGAAGAGGGUUGUCAAGAGCACUUCACACGUGAAGUAUUCUAAACCCUUUGGGGGAAUCACCACACUGCACUGAUAUAGAAAUGGUGGCGCGGUCCCCUAAGGAAAGCAUACUUCAUUUGUAAUGAACAUUAUGUCUGCAGAAACUAAUGGCAGAGCCUCCUAUUCAGUUUAUGUAAAAUAAAAUAGGCCAUAUGUUGCUGCUUUUAGAGUUUGGGUAUUUAAAUUAAAUGUUGUUUAAUGAAUAUUCAAGCCCAUUUGCUCAAAAGUUGUGCUCAAUGUGGCUGUUUUUUCCUUUUCCCCUUCCCACCCCCACUCUUUACCUAGUGUAUCAAGUCAUUACAUCAGGGUGCUAAAAACUAGGCAUCUGUCUCUAACUAGAAUUUGGAUAUUAAAACUCUAGAGCAGAUGAGAGGAUAAAUAAAGACAUACAGUAAAGGGAUCAUAUUAUUUUUGUUUUGUAAUUAAGACUGAGAAGGGUUUGACAUGCAUGACACUCUCUUAAGAAACAGGAACAUUCACUAUUGUUUCAACAGCUGGGGUUUUGGAUAUGUUGUAGUGGCAUGCUCAUUCCACUCCAUAUUACCUACAGGUAUAUCACUCCUUUUGUUAUCAACACCAAGAACCAAAUACUGGCUUGUGUGGUUACUUUUGACUUGGAUAGGACCUCAAUGUUGCAUACUGCUGAAUACAUACAGUCUUAUCAGCAUUACCUUACCUAGGCCUUUUAGAUUUGAAAGCUCUUCAGCAUAUGCUUAAAUUCUGGUCUAUUCUUCUUAAUUUAAGCAUGUAUUUAUUUUUUUUUUUCCCAAAUGGGAGGGGUAGGAAGGGAGGGGAGCCCAAGUCCUGAAAUGAACCCUCUUUCCUUUUGUUUAAAUAGCAUGAAAAUAUUCUCAUUACAAGACAGCUGUAUUGUAAAUGCAAAUCACCAAUGAUUGCCUUUCACAUGUUUUCAUGAGGGUUCUUGAGAUGCUUGUUUUUACUGCACAAGUGCUAUGCUAUUGUAGAAAUAAGGUGAAGCCCUCUUUAAGUGAA
Alligator mississippiensis (American alligator) is the source of this 4599-nucleotide long non-coding RNA. RefSeq lists it as uncharacterized. NCBI's taxonomy places the organism in Eukaryota, Metazoa, Chordata, Crocodylia, Alligatoridae. The transcript is spliced from 3 exons. The record is from RefSeq and is a predicted model, not a curated record.